Pelobates cultripes (western spadefoot toad) is the source of this 274-nucleotide non-coding RNA. Lineage: Eukaryota; Metazoa; Chordata; Amphibia; Anura; Pelobatidae. The record is from the annotation of a GenBank genome assembly.
AAAAAAAUACUAGGACAGGGGUGGGGCCUGACAGCCAAGUUGGCCAGACGUGUCCCUCUGUAGCUCUGGACACAUGGAGAUAAUAUUAAGCCUCUCAACUCACUAUUUUGGCUACAAGUGACCUUAAAGUACCGAGGUCUGAUAUUAAUAGCAGGUGCAAUUUAUUCUAUCCGGAACAUAUAGCAAAGCAGUGAAUCCGUUGGACCCUGAGGUCUGCUGGGUCUGCUUUGCCAGUGAAACAGAGAGGGAGCCGAACUCCCAACGCUGAGCGAGC